This 96-nucleotide ribosomal RNA is filed under the name Paraclostridium bifermentans. RNAcentral's name for it is "partial 23S ribosomal RNA". It matches the Rfam family "Bacterial large subunit ribosomal RNA", at positions 2828 to 2925 of the family's 2925-position model. RNAcentral also lists the same sequence under 1 other name. The record is from RNAcentral. Lineage: Bacteria; Bacillati; Bacillota; Clostridia; Peptostreptococcales; Peptostreptococcaceae.
UAAGAUCCCAGGAAGACUACCUGGUUGAUAGGUCGGAGGUGUAAGUGCAGCAAUGUAUGUAGCUUACCGAUACUAAUAGAUCGAGGACUUGACCAA